UACGUAGGGUGCAAGCGUUAUCCGGAAUUAUUGGGCGUAAAGAGCUCGUAGGCGGUUUGUCGCGUCUGCUGUGAAAACUGGAGGCUCAACCUCCAGCCUGCAGUGGGUACGGGCAAACUAGAGUGCGGUAGGGGAGAUUGGAAUUCCUGGUGUAGCGGUGGAAUGCGCAGAUAUCAGGAGGAACACCGAGUGGCGAAGGCAGAUCUCUGGGCCGUAAACUGACGCU
This 226-nucleotide ribosomal RNA is filed under the name uncultured bacterium. RNAcentral describes it as "partial 16S ribosomal RNA". It matches the Rfam family "Bacterial small subunit ribosomal RNA", at positions 524 to 747 of the family's 1533-position model. The record is from RNAcentral.